Long non-coding RNA from Limulus polyphemus (Atlantic horseshoe crab), 993 nucleotides. RefSeq lists it as uncharacterized. Lineage: Eukaryota; Metazoa; Arthropoda; Merostomata; Xiphosura; Limulidae. The transcript is spliced from 3 exons. The record is from RefSeq and is a predicted model, not a curated record.
CAAGUACCAGUGAACGAACCGGUUGAAUUCAACCAGACACCAACAAACAAUACGAGAGCUCAUCUCUAUUAGCACGUGCUUCAGAUCGUCCCUGUCAGCCUGCUUAUGGUCAUCUAGAAAAAACAACAACUAGAAGAACUACAGCUUAAACGUUUAAACACCUAUCUGCUUAUUGUAAAAUUUCUUAUAAUAUUCUAACAAACUUUCAUCUAUAAAUCUGAUAGCCAAUGAUCCUGAACAUGAGGAACUGGAGUCUUGCUGCUUUCUUGGCUUUAGUGGUAACUAUGACAGCUGCAAAUCCACCCAGCAGUGAUGAAAUACAGCUAACGAUGGACUCUGUAAACCGUGUCUUCAAUCGGAUGUUUCCCAUGGUUCCAAGUAAAACUCAUUACAUCCUGGAACUAGAUUCCAAAGACGACAACAACCUUCUGAAAAAUUAUAACAUUCCAGCUAAAUUAGUCAAUGACGAGUCUCUUCUUUCCGAUGAUGUUCCAACUAGGAGUCUGGAGUUGGGAUUUCACAAGCGAGGACCCAUAUGUAUGAGAAAUUGCAUCGCCCAAGGACUUCUUCACCCUGUCCAGUGUCAUUCGCUAUGUUAACAGAAGGAAUCCGAAAGUCGUCGAAUAUACCUCAGUGUUCCCUUCCCUCUUUCCAGCACCAAUGAAGAUACAUUUCUUCACGAAAGUAUCGGAAAAAAAGCGAAGACAUCUAUACCUAGUUUCAAUGGACGUGAACAAGUCAUUUUUAUAAGUAUAUAUACAAAUUUAAAAAAAUUAAAGGAAUGAAUAAUAAAAAGAUAUCUGAAGCUCUUUUACAGGUAAAACAAUUCAUAUUUUUAUGUACUUUUUUCCGCCCGAAAGCUAUUUGUUUUUUUGUAGAACCACGUUAAAAGCAUAGUCGUGUUAUAUAGUAAGCUACUUGUAGUGUUAGUCAUUAGUUUUAUCCGAGUGUUAUAUAUAUAUAUAUACCUGUAUACGCUUUUGAUGUGUUUAA